Molecule: ribosomal RNA, 2894 nt
Filed under: Escherichia coli
Lineage: Bacteria; Pseudomonadati; Pseudomonadota; Gammaproteobacteria; Enterobacterales; Enterobacteriaceae
Description: partial 23S ribosomal RNA
Rfam family: Bacterial large subunit ribosomal RNA
Source: RNAcentral
GUUAAGCGACUAAGCGUACACGGUGGAUGCCCUGGCAGUCAGAGGCGAUGAAGGACGUGCUAAUCUGCGAUAAGCGUCGGUGAGGUGAUAUGAACCGUUAUAACCGGCGAUUUCCGAAUGGGGAAACCCAGUGUGUUUCGACACACUAUCAUUAACUGAAUCCAUAGGUUAAUGAGGCGAACCGGGGGAACUGAAACAUCUAAGUACCCCGAGGAAAAGAAAUCAACCGAGAUUCCCCCAGUAGCGGCGAGCGAACGGGGAGGAGCCCAGAGCCUGAAUCAGUGUGUGUGUUAGUGGAAGCGUCUGGAAAGGCGUGCGAUACAGGGUGACAGCCCCGUACACAAAAAUGCACAUAUUGUGAGCUCGAUGAGUAGGGCGGGACACGUGGUAUCCUGUCUGAAUAUGGGGGGACCAUCCUCCAAGGCUAAAUACUCCUGACUGACCGAUAGUGAACCAGUACCGUGAGGGAAAGGCGAAAAGAACCCCGGCGAGGGGAGUGAAAAAGAACCUGAAACCGUGUACGUACAAGCAGUGGGAGCCUCUUUAUGGGGUGACUGCGUACCUUUUGUAUAAUGGGUCAGCGACUUAUAUUCUGUAGCAAGGUUAACCGAAUAGGGGAGCCGAAGGGAAACCGAGUCUUAACUGGGCGUUAAGUUGCAGGGUAUAGACCCGAAACCCGGUGAUCUAGCCAUGGGCAGGUUGAAGGUUGGGUAACACUAACUGGAGGACCGAACCGACUAAUGUUGAAAAAUUAGCGGAUGACUUGUGGCUGGGGGUGAAAGGCCAAUCAAACCGGGAGAUAGCUGGUUCUCCCCGAAAGCUAUUUAGGUAGCGCCUCGUGAAUUCAUCUCCGGGGGUAGAGCACUGUUUCGGCAAGGGGGUCAUCCCGACUUACCAACCCGAUGCAAACUGCGAAUACCGGAGAAUGUUAUCACGGGAGACACACGGCGGGUGCUAACGUCCGUCGUGAAGAGGGAAACAACCCAGACCGCCAGCUAAGGUCCCAAAGUCAUGGUUAAGUGGGAAACGAUGUGGGAAGGCCCAGACAGCCAGGAUGUUGGCUUAGAAGCAGCCAUCAUUUAAAGAAAGCGUAAUAGCUCACUGGUCGAGUCGGCCUGCGCGGAAGAUGUAACGGGGCUAAACCAUGCACCGAAGCUGCGGCAGCGACACUAUGUGUUGUUGGGUAGGGGAGCGUUCUGUAAGCCUGUGAAGGUGGCCUGUGAGGGUUGCUGGAGGUAUCAGAAGUGCGAAUGCUGACAUAAGUAACGAUAAAGCGGGUGAAAAGCCCGCUCGCCGGAAGACCAAGGGUUCCUGUCCAACGUUAAUCGGGGCAGGGUGAGUCGACCCCUAAGGCGAGGCCGAAAGGCGUAGUCGAUGGGAAACAGGUUAAUAUUCCUGUACUUGGUGUUACUGCGAAGGGGGGACGGAGAAGGCUAUGUUGGCCGGGCGACGGUUGUCCCGGUUUAAGCGUGUAGGCUGGUUUUCCAGGCAAAUCCGGAAAACCAAGGCUGAGGCGUGAUGACGAGGCACUACGGUGCUGAAGCGACAAAUGCCCUGCUUCCAGGAAAAGCCUCUAAGCAUCAGGUAACAUCAAAUCGUACCCCAAACCGACACAGGUGGUCAGGUAGAGAAUACCAAGGCGCUUGAGAGAACUCGGGUGAAGGAACUAGGCAAAAUGGUGCCGUAACUUCGGGAGAAGGCACGCUGAUAUGUAGGUGAAGCGACUUGCUCGUGGAGCUGAAAUCAGUCGAAGAUACCAGCUGGCUGCAACUGUUUAUUAAAAACACAGCACUGUGCAAACACGAAAGUGGACGUAUACGGUGUGACGCCUGCCCGGUGCCGGAAGGUUAAUUGAUGGGGUUAGCGGUAACGCGAAGCUCUUGAUCGAAGCCCCGGUAAACGGCGGCCGUAACUAUAACGGUCCUAAGGUAGCGAAAUUCCUUGUCGGGUAAGUUCCGACCUGCACGAAUGGCGUAAUGAUGGCCAGGCUGUCUCCACCCGAGACUCAGUGAAAUUGAACUCGCUGUGAAGAUGCAGUGUACCCGCGGCAAGACGGAAAGACCCCGUGAACCUUUACUAUAGCUUGACACUGAACAUUGAGCCUUGAUGUGUAGGAUAGGUGGGAGGCUUUGAAGUGUGGACGCCAGUCUGCAUGGAGCCGACCUUGAAAUACCACCCUUUAAUGUUUGAUGUUCUAACGUUGGCCCGUAAUCCGGGUUGCGGACAGUGUCUGGUGGGUAGUUUGACUGGGGCGGUCUCCUCCUAAAGAGUAACGGAGGAGCACGAAGGUUGGCUAAUCCUGGUCGGACAUCAGGAGGUUAGUGCAAUGGCAUAAGCCAGCUUGACUGCGAGCGUGACGGCGCGAGCAGGUGCGAAAGCAGGUCAUAGUGAUCCGGUGGUUCUGAAUGGAAGGGCCAUCGCUCAACGGAUAAAAGGUACUCCGGGGAUAACAGGCUGAUACCGCCCAAGAGUUCAUAUCGACGGCGGUGUUUGGCACCUCGAUGUCGGCUCAUCACAUCCUGGGGCUGAAGUAGGUCCCAAGGGUAUGGCUGUUCGCCAUUUAAAGUGGUACGCGAGCUGGGUUUAGAACGUCGUGAGACAGUUCGGUCCCUAUCUGCCGUGGGCGCUGGAGAACUGAGGGGGGCUGCUCCUAGUACGAGAGGACCGGAGUGGACGCAUCACUGGUGUUCGGGUUGUCAUGCCAAUGGCACUGCCCGGUAGCUAAAUGCGGAAGAGAUAAGUGCUGAAAGCAUCUAAGCACGAAACUUGCCCCGAGAUGAGUUCUCCCUGACUCCUUGAGAGUCCUGAAGGAACGUUGAAGACGACGACGUUGAUAGGCCGGGUGUGUAAGCGCAGCGAUGCGUUGAGCUAACCGGUACUAAUGAACCGUGAGG